Molecule: transfer RNA, 73 nt
Filed under: Colletotrichum graminicola M1.001
Lineage: Eukaryota; Fungi; Ascomycota; Sordariomycetes; Glomerellales; Glomerellaceae
Also listed under: 2 other names
Description: tRNA-Gly (CCC) (tRNA-Gly-CCC-1-1)
Rfam family: tRNA
About the family: Transfer RNA (tRNA) molecules are approximately 80 nucleotides in length. Their secondary structure includes four short double-helical elements and three loops (D, anti-codon, and T loops).
Source: RNAcentral
GCAACCGUGGUGCAGUGGUUUAGCAUUCCAGCCUCCCAAGCUGGGGACCUGGGUUCGAACCCCGGCGGUUGCA